UUUUGGACAAUGGGCGAAAGCCUGAUCCAGCAAUGCCGCGUGCAGGAUGAAGGCCUUCGGGUUGUAAACUGCUUUUGUACGGAACGAAAAGCUUUGGGUUAAUACCCUGGAGUAAUGACGGUACCGUAAGAAUAAGAACCGGAUACCGACGUGCCAGCAGCAGCGGAAAAACGUAGGGUGCAAGCGUUAAUCGGAAUUACUGGGCGUAAAGCGUUCUCAUGCGGUUUUGUAAGACAGAGGUGAAAUCCCCGGGCUCAACCUGGGAACUGCCUUUGUGACUGCAAGGCUAGAGUACGGCAGAGGGGGGUGGAAUUCCGCGUGUAGCAGUGAAAUGCGUAGAUAUGCGGAGGAACACCGAUGGCGAAGGCAACCCCCUGGGCCUGUACUGACGCUCAUGCACGAAAGCGUGGGGAGCAAACA
This 420-nucleotide ribosomal RNA is filed under the name uncultured bacterium. RNAcentral describes it as "partial 16S ribosomal RNA". It matches the Rfam family "Bacterial small subunit ribosomal RNA", at positions 362 to 774 of the family's 1533-position model. The record is from RNAcentral.